RNAcentral lists this ribosomal RNA (253 nucleotides) under uncultured Oscillospira sp. Its description in RNAcentral is "partial 16S ribosomal RNA". It matches the Rfam family "Bacterial small subunit ribosomal RNA", at positions 524 to 776 of the family's 1533-position model. Lineage: Bacteria; Bacillati; Bacillota; Clostridia; Eubacteriales; Oscillospiraceae. The record is from RNAcentral.
UACGUAGGGGGCAAGCGUUAUCCGGAUUUACUGGGUGUAAAGGGAGCGCAGGCGGCGCGGCAAGUCUGAUGUGAAAGCCCGGGGCUCAACCCCGGGACUGCAUUGGAAACUGUCAGUCUUGAGUACCGGAGAGGUCAUCGGAAUUCCUUGUGUAGCGGUGAAAUGCGUAGAUAUAAGGAAGAACACCAGUGGCGAAGGCGGAUGACUGGACGGCAACUGACGGUGAGGCGCGAAAGCGUGGGGAGCAAGCAGG